AAAGACGUUUGUUAGUCACAUCACUUAUAACAAUCGAUUCAUCAACCAUCGAUGAUCAUCAUGUGAUCACUACAAUUGCAGUUACUCACAAAUUGCUUAGCGUCUUAAAGAGAUAAAUAAUAAUAGAUAGAUUCGAAUGGUUUCAAUAAAGAAGAAAAAAAUGAAAAAAGAUUCAAGUCACGAUCCGAACGCACCACCGUUGACAAGAAUACCUAUACCCGAAUUACGUGAUACUGAACAGCUGGAGAAACGAAGAGCGAAAAAAGAAGCUUCGAAGGCAUUGAAAUUAGACAACGAUGUUCUUCCAUCCAUAUGUUUGUACACAUUGUUGAAUGCUCAACAAACGACGAAUGAAACGAGUGCUAUUUGCGCUGAAAUAUCUGAUGAUUCUACGCUGUUGGCUGUUGGAUUUUCCGAUUCAUUCAUACGGAUAUGGCCAUUAACACCGGGCAAACUGUGUGGCCUAAAACCGGCAAGCGAAUUAGAACAUUUGGAUAAAGAAACUGACGAUGUUAUAUUGCGUAUAAUGAUGGACAUGGGCGAUGAUUUAAAGAUAUUAUUUGGCCAUAGUGGGCCUGUUUAUGGUCUCAGUUUUAGUCCAUGUCGCGAUAUGUUAUUAUCAUGUUCAGAGGAUACAACCAUUCGCCUUUGGAGCCUUUUAACAUGGACCAACGUUGUCGUCUUUAAGGGUCAUUGUUUUCCCGUUUGGAAUGUCAAAUUUAGCCCACACGGUUAUUAUUUUGCAUCCUGUUCACAUGAUCGAACGGCUAGACUUUGGGCUACCGAUAAUCCCAAUCCUUUGCGUUAUUUUACUGGUCAUUUUGCUGAUGUUGAUUGUGUACAAUUUGAUCCAAAUUCCAAUUAUGUGGCUACCUCAUCAUCCGAUCGUUCAAUUCGUCUAUGGGAUUGUCUGAAUGGUCAAUGUGUUCGAUUAAUGACCGGUCAUAAAGAUAAUGUCCAUGUUUUGGCGUUCGAAAAUUCCGGUCGAUUUUUAGCAUCGGCCGGUGCAGAUAAACGAAUUUUAAUCUGGGAUCUGGCCUCUGGUCAUUUGGUAGCUGAUUUUGCCGGGAUCCAUACGAAUUCAAUCUAUACGCUAGCAUUUAAUCGUGGUCCCGAAUCAAUAAUAUUGGCAUCUGGUGGUCUUGACAAUCGUGUCAUUCUUUGGAAUAUGAAAGCAUUAAUGGAUGAUUUAGAUUUUCAGGAAAUGACACCAACAUCCAUGCCUACUAUUAAAUCAAAAAGUGAAACCUAUUUAUUGGCGAAAUUUCCAACAAAAUCCACCUAUAUGCUAUUGAAUCAUUUCACACGUCGUAAUCUGUUGCUAUCGAUUGGAGCAUUUCAUCAAGCAUCAUCAUCAUCAUCAUUAUCAUCCGCAUCACAAUAAACAAUUGGACCAUUCGCAGAAACGUUCGAACAAACUAACUAUCUAACAAAAACAACAUCGCUACCACUAAACCAUCAUCAUCAUAUUAAAAUCUUUGUGAAUUUCAAAAAAAAAACGAAGAGGUUCAUGUAUUUGGAACACUCAAUUCUUCAAUCUACAAAAUACAAAAUAAUCAUAAUAUAUAGCCGACAAGAAAAAAAAGGAAAAGAAACGCAAUCGCACAGCGAAACAUUCUUACUACACAGUGAGUUAUUAUUUUUUUUAUUGUGGUGGUGGUGGUGAAACAGGUGACGUCAAAGACGUGUGCUAUUAGAGAGUUUAUAUUUGGAAAUUGGAUAGGAAAUUUGACCCAGUUUUUUUUCGGUUUGGAUCGAUUUUCGGUUUUGGUACAUUCGGUCGAUAAUUGUACUGUUUCAUCACAUCAAUACUGUGUGUGAUUUCAUUCACAAGAAAAAAUCAUAAAUAUAACAGAGACUUUGUAGAAAAAAGUCCUUGAAUACACACAUAAGCUUUAUUCAUAAGAAUUAUUUUCAAAAAACAAAAAAAGAAACUUUUGUUUUAUUCUUCUUUUCUA
Molecule: non-coding RNA, 1958 nt
Organism: Dermatophagoides farinae (American house dust mite)
Lineage: Eukaryota; Metazoa; Arthropoda; Arachnida; Sarcoptiformes; Pyroglyphidae
Source: RefSeq, a predicted model, not a curated record